AAAUUGAAGAGUUUGAUCAUGGCUCAGAUUGAACGCUGGCGGCAGGCCUAACACAUGCAAGUCGAACGGUAACAGGAAGCAGCUUGCUGCUUUGCUGACGAGUGGCGGACGGGUGAGUAAUGUCUGGGAAACUGCCUGAUGGAGGGGGAUAACUACUGGAAACGGUGGCUAAUACCGCAUAACGUCGCAAGACCAAAGAGGGGGACCUUCGGGCCUCUUGCCAUCAGAUGUGCCCAGAUGGGAUUAGCUAGUUGGUGAGGUAACGGCUCACCAAGGCGACGAUCCCUAGCUGGUCUGAGAGGAUGACCAGCCACACUGGAACUGAGACACGGUCCAGACUCCUACGGGAGGCAGCAGUGGGGAAUAUUGCACAAUGGGCGCAAGCCUGAUGCAGCCAUGCCGCGUGUAUGAAGAAGGCCUUCGGGUUGUAAAGUACUUUCAGCGGGGAGGAAGGUGUUGUGGUUAAUAACCACAGCAAUUGACGUUACCCGCAGAAGAAGCACCGGCUAACUCCGUGCCAGCAGCCGCGGUAAUACGGAGGGUGCAAGCGUUAAUCGGAAUUACUGGGCGUAAAGCGCACGCAGGCGGUCUGUCAAGUCGGAUGUGAAAUCCCCGGGCUCAACCUGGGAACUGCAUUCGAAACUGGCAGGCUUGAGUCUUGUAGAGGGGGGUAGAAUUCCAGGUGUAGCGGUGAAAUGCGUAGAGAUCUGGAGGAAUACCGGUGGCGAAGGCGGCCCCCUGGACAAAGACUGACGCUCAGGUGCGAAAGCGUGGGGAGCAAACAGGAUUAGAUACCCUGGUAGUCCACGCCGUAAACGAUGUCUACUUGGAGGUUGUGCCCUUGAGGCGUGGCUUCCGGAGCUAACGCGUUAAGUAGACCGCCUGGGGAGUACGGCCGCAAGGUUAAAACUCAAAUGAAUUGACGGGGGCCCGCACAAGCGGUGGAGCAUGUGGUUUAAUUCGAUGCAACGCGAAGAACCUUACCUGGUCUUGACAUCCACAGAAGAAUCCAGAGAUGGAUUUGUGCCUUCGGGAACUGUGAGACAGGUGCUGCAUGGCUGUCGUCAGCUCGUGUUGUGAAAUGUUGGGUUAAGUCCCGCAACGAGCGCAACCCUUAUCCUUUGUUGCCAGCGGUCCGGCCGGGAACUCAAAGGAGACUGCCAGUGAUAAACUGGAGGAAGGUGGGGAUGACGUCAAGUCAUCAUGGCCCUUACGACCAGGGCUACACACGUGCUACAAUGGCGCAUACAAAGAGAAGCGACCUCGCGAGAGCAAGCGGACCUCAUAAAGUGCGUCGUAGUCCGGAUUGGAGUCUGCAACUCGACUCCAUGAAGUCGGAAUCGCUAGUAAUCGUGGAUCAGAAUGCCACGGUGAAUACGUUCCCGGGCCUUGUACACACCGCCCGUCACACCAUGGGAGUGGGUUGCAAAAGAAGUAGGUAGCUUAACCUUCGGGAGGGCGCUUACCACUUUGUGAUUCAUGACUGGGGUGAAGUCGUAACAAGGUAACCGUAGGGGAACCUGC
Molecule: ribosomal RNA, 1524 nt
Filed under: Salmonella enterica subsp. enterica
Lineage: Bacteria; Pseudomonadati; Pseudomonadota; Gammaproteobacteria; Enterobacterales; Enterobacteriaceae
Also listed under: 1 other name
Description: bacterial SSU rRNA
Rfam family: Bacterial small subunit ribosomal RNA
Source: RNAcentral